Molecule: ribosomal RNA, 239 nt
Filed under: uncultured Staphylococcus sp.
Lineage: Bacteria; Bacillati; Bacillota; Bacilli; Caryophanales; Staphylococcaceae
Description: partial 16S ribosomal RNA
Rfam family: Bacterial small subunit ribosomal RNA
Source: RNAcentral
CGGACGGGUGAGUAACACGUGGAUAACCUACCUAUAAGACUGGGAUAACUUCGGGAAACCGGAGCAUACCGGAUAAUAUAUUGAACCGCAUGGUUCAAUAGUGAAAGACGGUUUUGCUGUCACUUAUAGAUGGAUCCGCGCCGCAUUAGCUAGUUGGUAAGGUAACGGCUUACCAAGGCAACGAUGCGUAGCCGACCUGAGAGGGUGAUCGGCCACGCUGGAACUGAGACACGGUCCAG